Long non-coding RNA from Patella vulgata (common limpet), 715 nucleotides. RefSeq lists it as uncharacterized. Lineage: Eukaryota; Metazoa; Mollusca; Gastropoda; Patellidae. The transcript has 3 exons. The record is from RefSeq and is a predicted model, not a curated record.
GGUGAUUGUAAAUGAAUUCCGGUGAAUUCCGGUGAUUAGUCUACCCGCCUGUGGCUGCAUAUUUUUUUCAUUUUGGUCGAAAUACGUUUGAUUUCAGUUUAAUUGAUGUAAAUGUAUCAUUAUCCAGUCUAUUAAUGAAAUAUGUAGUACUUACUUACAUAUAACCGUCACUGGUGUAAUGGAAAAAGAUGUUAUAAAAUGAUUUGAAGUCAUAACGAUUAGCCUAUCAUAAUGAUAAUAGGCCUACUAAUGAUAUUAAAUAUGAAUUACUAUUUUUAUUAUUAGCCUUUCUUUUGAAACUAAAUAAAUCGCACAUAUUUCUUUUUACAAUAAAAAUCUCAAUCAAAUGGGUGAGAUUUUUCAUGGUUUUGAGUUGCUGCUCUUUAAAAGGUUCCAGUCUCACCCCGACCAGUGGAGAGAAUGGAGAGGAAAAUUAAUGGAGAAAGUUGGGAAAUCGGGAUUGGUCAUUGAAGAUUUAGACGAUUUGGGUAAUAUCCCUCAAAAUCUCUGGUAUUUAUCUGUAUCACUGCAUACCAGACAGAAAUAUUUACUCUCAUUGAUGAAAGAUGAAAUAGAAAGAGAGAAGAAAAAGCAAAUACCUCGUCAAAAUGAAACUUUGUUAUCACAGUAUUUGUCCCAACACCAGUUUACAGAGUUCCAUUUAGACAGUAUGUUUAAAUAUGGCGAUGAUAAUCAAUUGGUGAGAGAGGUUAGU